Molecule: non-coding RNA, 30 nt
Filed under: Homo sapiens (human)
Lineage: Eukaryota; Metazoa; Chordata; Mammalia; Primates; Hominidae
Source: RNAcentral
UCAAAGAAUGUGUGACAGAGAAUCCACCCA